GCCUUCGUGGUGUAGUGGGUAGCAUGCUCGACGCGUAACCGAGAGGUCCGUGGUUCGAUUCCCGGUAGAGGCG
Molecule: transfer RNA, 73 nt
Filed under: Stegodyphus mimosarum
Lineage: Eukaryota; Metazoa; Arthropoda; Arachnida; Araneae; Eresidae
Rfam family: tRNA
About the family: Transfer RNA (tRNA) molecules are approximately 80 nucleotides in length. Their secondary structure includes four short double-helical elements and three loops (D, anti-codon, and T loops).
Source: Rfam by way of RNAcentral